UACAGAGGUCCCGAGCGUUGUUCGGAUUCACUGGGCGUAAAGGGUGCGUAGGCGGUUCUGAAAGUCUGAUGUGAAAUCUCCAGGCCCAACCUGGAAACGGCAUUAGAAACUACAGGGCUAGAGGCUUGGAGGGGGAACUGGAAUGCUCGGUGUAGCAGUGAAAUGCGUAGAGAUCGAGCGGAACACCAGUGGCGAAGGCGACUACCUGGCCUGUUCUUGACGCUGAGGCGCGAAAGCUAGGGGAGCAAACGGG
This 253-nucleotide ribosomal RNA is filed under the name uncultured bacterium. Its description in RNAcentral is "partial 16S ribosomal RNA". It matches the Rfam family "Bacterial small subunit ribosomal RNA", at positions 524 to 776 of the family's 1533-position model. The record is from RNAcentral.